This 66-nucleotide transfer RNA is filed under the name Pinctada albina. RNAcentral's name for it is "tRNA-Gly". The record is from RNAcentral. Lineage: Eukaryota; Metazoa; Mollusca; Bivalvia; Pterioida; Pteriidae.
GCCUUCGGGGUGUGUUAGCAUGUAGGCCUUCCAAGUCUGAGGUUCCAAGAAAUAUGGGCGGAGGUA